AUGCGGCUGAUCCAUGCUGAAGACAAGCACUUGAGUGCUCUCAACCAUGCGCUCGACCUCAAGAAUUCGUAUGGCAAUGGGGUGACAGCCAUGUUCCUCAUCUACAAUGCCACGGGUGACACGCUCGAGCAGCUUGAAGACCAGAAGGUGGACUGGCUUGGCAAUGUGAGCACGGAGGAACCCCCAGCCUCCAUCCAGAACGGCCAAUGGAUCACCUUCAUCCACGCUCACCCGACUGCACAGGCUGUUGGAUCAGAGGCGGCGCGGGUCUUCCGAGGCCACGAUAUCACAGGCCAAGUUCGUGACUAUAUGGUAGCCUGGUUCGUCCGUUGGGACAGCAUUCCAAACUCAGCAUACCCUGAGGUACGUGAGAAAGAUCACUUCCCAAAGUUCUGGGGUUACAUCGUGAGCUUACUUGAGAGGGCAGGCAAAGUCACCAAAGACCAAACUGAUGAGUAUUGUGCAUCCACUGUCAGCAUCGGUGGCUACACUUCCUCGGAAGUCAUUGCAGUUCUGCAGCACAAGUUUAGCCCUUUGCCAGAUCAGGAUAUCCUCUAA
Molecule: ribosomal RNA, 558 nt
Filed under: Triticum aestivum (bread wheat)
Lineage: Eukaryota; Viridiplantae; Streptophyta; Magnoliopsida; Poales; Poaceae
Description: partial small subunit ribosomal RNA
Source: RNAcentral